CGCUGUCGUCAGUGCUAGGAACCUGCGCCCGGCUGAGCUGAGCGAGGCGAGAGGAGAAAGCGAGGCCCGGGGACGGGACUGAGAGCUCUGAAAGGAGGGAGGCGGCUCCCGAGUACUCCGCGCGGGGCAGGCCCCGGCCUCGCCUCUUCGCCCAUUUUUAAGGCUCGAGUUAGAGGCCACCUCCUCCGAGAAGCCUUCGGUGACACCACCUCUCCCAGACGGUUCCCCUUUCUGAUUCCCACAGCAUUUUCCAACCAUUCACGGUCAGAACCACUCACCAGGACGUGUUGUCACCAUUUUACCGCUUUGCCUCGUCUCUUAACUAGACGAAAUGGGUUCCUUUUGGCUCUUUGGAAAGGGAGGCUGUCUUCUAUUUAUUUCCGUGGUAAUCCCACCUCCCACAACAAGUUCCAUUCUACAGCAAUGUCUUUUCUCUUGCUGAGAACCAUUCAAGUCUAAGUUUUCUGGGACCGCCACCAUCACAGGCACUCGGUAGAUGUCUGCUGAAUGAGGAUAACUUCUACCCAACACCGUGAAGCCUGGCCCAGGGUCUGGCAUACAGAUGCCGUGUUUGUAAGAUGUCCAGCCACCACCUCAAUGUCAGCCGAAGCCCAGUGUCUCUCCAAAGCUCUUGAUCUCCAUUUCUGUCAGCGAUACCAUCAUUUCCCAGUCACUCCGUCCAGAAAGUCCUGGUUGCUCAUCUCGCCCACUUGCACAGCCCACCUGUGUGGCCGACUCAGGAUUGACCCACCUGCUCUCUUCAGGCCAUAUUCCCACGCAGAAGUGGGUCCCACUCCUCAGGCCUCUGUGCUGGCCCCGUCUGUGGGGUUAGCAAGCAGCCCUGCUCUCCAUUUCCAGCUCAGAAGCAACUGGAUCGUUACCUCAUUGGUGACAACUUGACUGUGCUGCCCAGAGCUGAUAAGAAACAUCACCCGGGGAAGACCAGCUGCCUCUUCCUUGCUUCCUAAUCAGGGUGGAAAUACUGCUAAAUAUAUCACAACUCUUUGCAAGCAUCGUUGGGUAAUGAUCGGGACAUCUUUGUGGGUUCCCUAUCAUUUUCUCACAAAGUUGAGCCUUUCAAGGUCAGUUCUAGGCCAGCCAGUCUGGGAGUCAUUCUUUAGAAUCAGAAGAGAAUUUAAGAAGAGGAGAAGAUAAGAUUGUCUCUAAAACCUGCUAAUGAGAACUACAGGAAGGUGGGGAUGCUAGCUACUUUUAAUAUUUCUGGUUUGAACCCCUUCCUCCACCCCAGAAUGAACUGAGAGUAGGUACAGAAAUAGAUAAUGCAAAGACGGUUAGGGUUGAGGGUAAGCAGAAAACUACCCAUCUAGACCGAAGGAAGGCUUGCUAACAUAUCAGUAAGCAAACAGCUUUCUAAUCUGCAGGUAACAAGUUUUACAUCCCUGAGGACACUUUUUGAGAUAGGACUUUGUUUGUUUGUUUGUUUGUUGUUUUUUGUUUUUUUGAGACAGAGUCUCGCUCUGUCUCCCAGGCUGGAGUGCAGUGGCAUGGUCUCGGCUCACUGCAACCUUCACCUCCCAGGAUCAAACGAUUCUCCUGCCUCAGCCUCCUGAAUAGCUGGGAUUACAGGUGCAUGCCACCAUGUCCAGCUAUUUUUGUGUGUGUGUGUGUGUGUGUGUGUGUGUGUGUAUUUUUAGUAGAGAUGGGGUUUCAUCAUGUUGGUCAGGCUGGUCUGAAACUCCUGACCUCGUGAUCUGCCCUCCUCAGCCUCCCAAAGUGCUGGGAUUAUAGGCGUGAGCCACCGGGCCCAGCCUGGGGCUUUUUGAGACCCUAUUGAAGGCUGAGGAAGAAUCUGGAAGCUAAAGAGUAACCCAUUCCACCACCUGCUCUGAAGAUAGAAGAAGCAAAAAAAGAUUAAAUUGUACAAAAAGCACUUAAAUUAGACAACAGAAGAAUUUCCUGAUACAAAGUGGGUGUCUAAGAUGUGUUAAACAAGAUGCCUGCUCCAGCCAGGACUCAGACACUCCUGGAUGGAGAGCAUCUUCACAGUUUGGGAUAAAAGUGACUAUACAGAGUGGUGGAGUGAAGGCUGCAGGCCCCUCCCCAAGGUGGCAUCUAACCCCGGAGGUAUCAGGACCUCAGAGGCUACCCACAUGAUUUCCAGCUGAUGAGCAGAAAUAGCUGUGGCAGGUGCAGGCUUCACUUGCUGCCACCAACAUGGGAGCUCACCAAACACCCAGUGGCCAAAAGAACCAGGGUCUCUCUAAGCCCUGGGCUCACCGCCAGGCAAGCUUGGGUGCUUGGGAGGGCCGUCGUUCUUCACAGUGCAGCCCCUGGAUUUCUUCUCAAUUUACUCAACUCUCUCUCUUGAAUCCCAUCUGUGCAGCUUAGAAGUCACAAAUUAGAACCCCCCAAGGCAAAGCUGACCAUAGAUACAAAUGGUUUUGUCUGUAUAGUGUUUAAGCACUUAAAAAAUUCAUUGUGAACAUUUAAUAAUUAGAAAGUGUCAAAAUGAAAAUAUCUAUAGUUUCUCUCUAAAAACCAGAAGAUCUGUUAACACUGAUCCCACACUUCUAUUUGGCAAUGACUGGCCCCUAAGACAGGGGGUAUGUCCUCUAGCUCACCACAGUCUCCACCUUUACCUACUGCAUCCCUGCUGAGACAAAGUGGUACAUGCCAUUUAUUAAGGAUGAAUGCUGUUUUUUUUAAUUAUACUUAAUCCUCAUUUGCAUUACCUGCCUUCAUUCUGGAGGUAUUUGAGUUUGCAUCUCCUGAUAAAGAAUAAA
This 2744-nucleotide long non-coding RNA is filed under the name Homo sapiens (human). Its description in RNAcentral is "HSALNT0020234". Lineage: Eukaryota; Metazoa; Chordata; Mammalia; Primates; Hominidae. The record is from RNAcentral.